UGCAUUCACUACUGUAAGUCGCUCUGGAUAAGGGCGUCUGCUAAAUGACAAAAA
Molecule: non-coding RNA, 54 nt
Organism: Salmo salar (Atlantic salmon)
Lineage: Eukaryota; Metazoa; Chordata; Actinopteri; Salmoniformes; Salmonidae
Source: Rfam